CGACGCUUUCCGAGGUCGAGGGAGUCUGGUUCCCUACGGUCGACCCUCGGGGCAUCCCGACCUUAGUCGAGGGAUCGCUCGCUUCGGGGAUCGGGGAUCGUCGACCGCUCCCGGGGGUCCAUUUUGUGGCGCCCCGGGUGGAGCCACCCUUUCCACCCCUCACGGCGCCUUCCCGAGGUCGAGGGAGUCUGGUUCUCUACGGUCGAGCCUCGAGGCAUCCCGAUUUUGGUCGGAGGAUCUGAGGAUCACAGACGACCCAAUAUUAGAAGAGGAUUACAGUCAUCAAAAUGAGAGAAAUAUUUGCAGAAAAAGGAGCUGAGUCCAUUAUCCUGAUUAUCUUGAACCCCUUGGAGUUUCACUGGUAGUACAUUCGUAAAUUCUCGGAGUUCCAGCUUCGUGGGAUCAGAGUCCCUUCCAGGGACUUCAAUUUGUACGCCCCUGGCCGUUGUACCCGGGCGAUUUGAUACGGUCCUUCCCAGUUUGGGGCGAGCUUUCCUUGCUCGGUUGGUUGAGAAGCCUCGGCUUUCCUGA
This 531-nucleotide long non-coding RNA is filed under the name Phoenix dactylifera (date palm). Its description in RNAcentral is "long non-coding RNA (PDAC_LNC022346)". Lineage: Eukaryota; Viridiplantae; Streptophyta; Magnoliopsida; Arecales; Arecaceae. The record is from RNAcentral.